Molecule: ribosomal RNA, 274 nt
Filed under: uncultured bacterium
Lineage: Bacteria
Description: partial 16S ribosomal RNA
Rfam family: Bacterial small subunit ribosomal RNA
Source: RNAcentral
AUACGGAGGGGGUUAGCGUUGUUCGGAGUUACUGGGCGUAAAGCGCACGUAGGCGGACUGGAAAGUUGGGGGUGAAAUCCCGGGGCUCAACCCCGGAACUGCCUCCAAAACUUCCAAUCUAGAGAUCGAGAGAGGUGAGUGGAAUUCCAAGGGUAGAGGUGAAAUUCGUAGAUAUUUGGAGGAACACCAGUGGCGAAGGCGGCUCACUGGCUCGAUACUGACGCUGAGGUGCGAAAGCGUGGGGAGCAAACAGGAUUAGAAACCCCAGUAGUCC